Cavia porcellus (domestic guinea pig) is the source of this 934-nucleotide long non-coding RNA. RefSeq lists it as uncharacterized. The transcript has 3 exons. The record is from RefSeq and is a predicted model, not a curated record. Lineage: Eukaryota; Metazoa; Chordata; Mammalia; Rodentia; Caviidae.
AGAGUACCACAGUGGGUGGGGAAAUCGGCAGUUACUUCCUUUACCUGCCCUGAAUCUUUCAGGGAUGCUGGGGCUUUUUGUGUCCCCUGGGCUGCAGCUUCCAGAAAGGAACAGAAAGCUCUGCCCAGCCCAGCUAUGUGGACCCUAACUGUGUGUCCUGGCUUGCUCUUCCUGGCUGCUUCCUGAGGCUGCAUUUUAUUCUUUUCAUGUCAGCUUCCCCCAGGAGCACACGGGCUGCCCAUCCUUGGACCCCUGGCGCUGCCCCGUGGACGGUCCUCCAUCGCCCCGCUGCUUGGGAGAUGGGCCUGAACUGGAGACUGAAUCUAGGACUCUCACACAGGUAAAUUCAAUACGAUUAGUACCAGCAUAAUUUCGACUGACUUCUAUGAAGAAGAUUUCACAGUCACCUGAAGCCACAGCCUGGAACUGUCAUUAUGGAAAGCCUCCAAAAGGAGCUUGGAAAAUCUUGGGAGGAUUUCUUAAAUCUUAUGAAAAAAGAGAAGAAGUAAAGUAAAAGGAGAUUUCUCUUCACAAAGAACCUGAAAAUGUAGCAUUGCAAGCGAAGGCAUGCUUAAUCUAUUGACAUUUAAACUCAUAGUACUCAGGUUUCUUUUCCAUUGUUCAUUUAAAAUCAUUAUUCACUUCAUUUCCACAGCACUUAAAAAAAUGCUGCAUUUUCUUGAGCCACAAAAACAGAUGAAAAUUGAGAUGCAAGGGUUCAGUAUUUUAAAAGUAUUUGUAAAAUUGUUUUUUUAAAAGAUCACAUGUUAAUAAGCAAUAAAGCUGAUACAUCAAGAAAAGCUAGAGUAAGGUAUGGUGUAGUUUAUUUGGCUCUGUUUCUAUCAAUAUGAAUCCUGAAAAAUCUCUCAUUAUGUCUUCUCUUUGCAAUGUAUUUCUUAGAUGAUUGAAAACGGAUAAACAUAUUGAUGAAAAA